Long non-coding RNA from Fukomys damarensis (Damara mole-rat), 198 nucleotides. RefSeq lists it as uncharacterized. NCBI's taxonomy places the organism in Eukaryota, Metazoa, Chordata, Mammalia, Rodentia, Bathyergidae. The record is from RefSeq and is a predicted model, not a curated record. The transcript is spliced from 3 exons.
CAACGCAUGGCCCUGAGGAAGUGUGCCCAGACCCUCUGCCAUUUACCUCCCCAUGUCCCAUGUCACUCCGGGCAAUAAGAUGGCGUCCUCCCAAGUAGGAAGAGUCCCAGUGGUGCCCAGUAAGAAAUGGGAUCGAAUCUGGGAUCUUCAGGCUUUCUAUGCAGGUGGCGGAACCACUGAACUAAAUUCCUAGCACAA